Molecule: ribosomal RNA, 253 nt
Filed under: uncultured bacterium
Lineage: Bacteria
Description: partial 16S ribosomal RNA
Rfam family: Bacterial small subunit ribosomal RNA
Source: RNAcentral
UACGGAGGGUGCGAGCGUUGUCCGGAAUCACUGGGCGUAAAGGGCGCGUAGGUGGCGCGGGAAGUCAACGGUGAAAGUUCGGGGCUCAACCCUGAAUCGGCCGUCGAUACUCCCGGGCUCGAGCACUGUAGAGGCAGAUGGAAUUCCGGGUGUAGCGGUGGAAUGCGUAGAGAUCCGGAAGAACACCGGUGGCGAAGGCGGUUGCCUGGGGCUUUGCUGACGCUGAUGCGCGAAAGCGUGGGGAGCGAUCCGG